This 253-nucleotide ribosomal RNA is filed under the name uncultured bacterium. RNAcentral's name for it is "partial 16S ribosomal RNA". It matches the Rfam family "Bacterial small subunit ribosomal RNA", at positions 524 to 776 of the family's 1533-position model. The record is from RNAcentral.
UACGUAGGGUGCAAGCGUUAAUCGGAAUUACUGGGCGUAAAGCGUGCGCAGGCGGUUGUGCAAGACAGAUGUGAAAUCCCCGGGCUCAACCUGGGAACUGCAUUUGUGACUGCACGGCUGGAGUGCGGCAGAGGGGGAUGGAAUUCCGCGUGUAGCAGUGAAAUGCGUAGAUAUGCGGAGGAACACCAAUGGCGAAGGCAAUCCCCUGGGCCUGCACUGACGCUCAUGCACGAAAGCGUGGGGAGCAAACAGG